GUCCACGCCGUAAACGAUGUCUGCUAGCCGUUGGGGCGCUUGACGCUUCAGUGGCGGAGCUAACGCGAUAAGCAGACCGCCUGGGGAGUACGGCCGCAAGGUUAAAACUCAAAUGAAUUGACGGGGGCCCCGCACAAGCGGUGGAGUAUGUGGUUUAAUUCGACGCAACGCGAAAAACCUUACCCGGUCUUGACAUCCUGGGAACUUGCUAGAGAUAGCUUGGUGCCGAAAGGAGCCCAGAGACAGGUGCUGCAUGGCUGUCGU
This 264-nucleotide ribosomal RNA is filed under the name uncultured bacterium. RNAcentral describes it as "partial 16S ribosomal RNA". It matches the Rfam family "Bacterial small subunit ribosomal RNA", at positions 793 to 1055 of the family's 1533-position model. The record is from RNAcentral.